RNAcentral lists this ribosomal RNA (301 nucleotides) under uncultured bacterium. Its description in RNAcentral is "partial 16S ribosomal RNA". It matches the Rfam family "Bacterial small subunit ribosomal RNA", at positions 509 to 807 of the family's 1533-position model. The record is from RNAcentral.
CAGUCGCCACGGUAAUACGUAGGUGGCAAGCGUUGUCCGGAAUUAUUGGGCGUGAAGGGCUCGCAGGCGGUUUCCUAAGUCUGAUGUGAAAGCCCCCGGCCCAACCGGGGAGGGUCAUUGGAAACUGGGAAACUUGAGUGCAGAAGAGGAGAGUGGAAUUCCACGUGUAGCGGUGAAAUGCGUAGAGAUGUGGAGGAACACCAGUGGCGAAGGUGACUCUCUGGUCUGUAACUGACGCUGAGGAGCGAAAGCGUGGGGAGCGAACAGGAUUAGAUACCCCCGUAGUCCCUGUCUCUUAUAC